This 514-nucleotide ribosomal RNA is filed under the name uncultured bacterium. Its description in RNAcentral is "bacterial SSU rRNA". It matches the Rfam family "Bacterial small subunit ribosomal RNA", at positions 32 to 518 of the family's 1533-position model. The record is from RNAcentral.
GACGCUGGCGGCGUGCCUAAUACAUGCAAGUCGAACGGCUUUUCUAUGGAAGCUUGCUUCCACUGAGAAGAUAGUGGCGAACGGGUGAGUAACACGUGGGUAACCUGCCCAUAAGAGGGGGGAUAACAUCCGGAAACGGGUGCUAAUACCGCAUAGUUUUCUUGAUCGCAUGAUCGGGAAAGGAAAGACGGCCUUUGUGCUGUCGCUUAUGGAUGGACCCGCGGCGUAUUAGUUAGUUGGUGAGGUAACGGCUCACCAAGACGAUGAUACGUAGCCGACCUGAGAGGGUGAUCGGCCACAUUGGGACUGAGACACGGCCCAAACUCCUACGGGAGGCAGCAGUAGGGAAUCUUCCGCAAUGGACGAAAGUCUGACGGAGCAACGCCGCGUGAGUGAAAGAAGGUUUUCGGAUCGUAAAACUCUGUUGUCAGAGAAGAACAAGUUGGAGAGUAACUGCUCCAGCCUUGACGGUAUCUGACCAGAAAGCCACGGCUAACUACGUGCCAGCCGCCGC